Molecule: ribosomal RNA, 332 nt
Filed under: uncultured bacterium
Lineage: Bacteria
Description: bacterial SSU rRNA
Rfam family: Bacterial small subunit ribosomal RNA
Source: RNAcentral
CACGUAGGCGGGCCGUCUUGCGUCGCGUGAAAUCCCUCGGCUCAACCGAGGAAUGGCAUGGCGAACGGGCGGUCUUGAGGCAGGUAGAGGUGUGGGGAACUCUUGGUGGAGCGGUGGAAUGCGUAGAUAUCAAGAGGAACGCCGGAGACGAAGGUGCCGCACUGGGCCUGUCCUGACGCUGAGGUGCGAAAGCCAGGGGAGCAAACGGGAUUAGAUACCCCGGUAGUCCUGGCCCUAAACGAUGACCACCAGGUGUGGGAGGUAUCGACCCCUUCCGUGCCGGAGGAAACCCACUGAGUGGUCCGCCUGGGGAGUACGGUCGCAAGAUUAAA